GGGCAGAUGAUGAGAAUUAACUAUUUUGGGCUGAUUCAACCGUGAAGCUCCAAAAUUCGAGCUUUUUAAAACUGAUGCCCC
RNAcentral lists this small nucleolar RNA (81 nucleotides) under Olea europaea subsp. europaea. The record is from RNAcentral. Lineage: Eukaryota; Viridiplantae; Streptophyta; Magnoliopsida; Lamiales; Oleaceae.